Molecule: ribosomal RNA, 425 nt
Filed under: uncultured bacterium
Lineage: Bacteria
Description: partial 16S ribosomal RNA
Rfam family: Bacterial small subunit ribosomal RNA
Source: RNAcentral
GUGGGGAAUCUUAGACAAUGGGCGCAAGCCUGAUCUAGCCAUGCCGCGUGAGCGAUGAAGGCCUUAGGGUUGUAAAGCUCUUUCGCUGGGGAAGAUAAUGACUGUACCCAGUAAAGAAGCCCCGGCUAACUUCGUGCCAGCAGCCGCGGUAAUACGAAGGGGGCUAGCGUUGUUCGGAAUUACUGGGCGUAAAGCGCACGUAGGCUGAUAUUUAAGUCAGGGGUGAAAUCCCGGGGCUCAACCCCGGAACUGCCUUUGAUACUGGGUAUCUUGAGUAUGGAAGAGGUCAGUGGAAUUGCGAGUGUAGAGGUGAAAUUCGUAGAUAUUCGCAGGAACACCAGUGGCGAAGGCGGCUGACUGGUCCAUUACUGACGCUGAGGUGCGAAAGCGUGGGGAGCAAACAGGAUUAGAAACCCCGGUAGUCC